UUAAAUCUUAUUAAUGUAAUCAUGGUUUUCUAUAUAUUAAGAAGUAAAAAAAUUAUUUUUGAAAUGUAUUUUUUUAGUAGAGUGAAUCGAAAUAUUUUAUAAUAAAUUAUAGACUAAAGUACUGUAAAGGAAAGAUGAAAUAAUUUGAAAAAUGUAUUAAUAAAAAGUAAAGUUAAAUUCUUGUACCUUGUGUAUUAGGGAAAAUCAAAAUAAUCUUAUUAUUUAAAGAAAUCCCGAAAGAAAAAGAGCUAUUAUAAAUAUAUAGUUUUCGUAUUAAUGAAAUUAUCAAAUUUAUACUAGUAGUGAAAUGCUAAUCGUUUUUUCAUAUCUGGUUAUUGGUGAAUUAAAUUUAAUUUGAUUAUAUUGAGGUAAUCAAAAGCUUUAAUAUAAUAAAGAAUAGGAGGGAAAAGCUUCUUGUUCUAACAUAGGUGUGUUAUGAUAUAAUGAAUAAUUAUUUUAUUGAAUUAGGCUUAAAAACAGCUAUAUUAAUAAAACGUUCUAGUUAAUAUAAUUUUUCUUUAUUAUUUUAAUAAAAUGAAUCUAACUUGUAGUAGCCAAUAUUUAUGUUAAGUAAAAUACCAUAAGUUAUAAUGAUUUUAUUAGUAGAAAUACAUUUGUGUAAAUAGAUAACAUUAAAUAAUCUAUAUAUUUUUAUUUUUUUUAGGUAUAAUUAAGGAACUCGGCAAAUACUACUUUUGCCUGUUUAUCAAAAACAUGUCUAUAUGAUUGUUAUAUAAAGUCUAGCCUGCCCACUGAAUUAUUUUUAAAGGGCCGCGGUAUACUGACCGUGCGAAGGUAGCAUAAUCAUUAGUCUUUUAAUUGAAGGCUUGUAUGAAUGGUUGGACAAAAAGUAAUCUGUCUCAGUUAUAAUAGUUGAACUUAACUUUUAAGUGAAAAGGCUUAAAUACUUUAAGGGGACGAUAAGACCCUAUAAAACUUAACAAUAAUUUGAUUAAAUUAUAAAUUGUUAGUAUAACUUGAUUUUAAUUAAUGUUUGUUGCGUUGGGGCGACGGGAAUAUAAUUAGUAACUGUUCUUAAAUAUUUUAUUAACAAGUAUAAUUGAAGAAUAAUUGAUCCUUUAUUAAAGAUUAAAAGAUUAAGUUACUUUAGGGAUAACAGCGUAAUCUUCUUUGAGAGUCCUCAUCGACAAGAAGGUUUGCGACCUCGAUGUUGAAUUAAGGUAUCCUUAUAAUGCAGCAGUUACAAAGGAAGGUCUGUUCGACCUUUAAAUCCUUACAUGAUUUGAGUUCAGACCGGCGUGAGCCAGGUCGGUUUCUAUCUCUUAAUUUUAUUAUAAUUACUUUAGUACGAAAGGAUUAAGUAGUUAAAAUAAUUUUAUUUAUAUGAUUAAUUUUAAUUUAUUU
Molecule: non-coding RNA, 1365 nt
Organism: Penaeus monodon (black tiger shrimp)
Lineage: Eukaryota; Metazoa; Arthropoda; Malacostraca; Decapoda; Penaeidae
Source: the annotation of a RefSeq genome assembly